This 362-nucleotide long non-coding RNA is filed under the name Mytilus galloprovincialis (Mediterranean mussel). Lineage: Eukaryota; Metazoa; Mollusca; Bivalvia; Mytilida; Mytilidae. The record is from RNAcentral.
CUCCAUAAUAAAUGAGAUGCUCAAAUGCAGCCAAUCAUAUCUGCUUAAAUGUUUUGUAACGAUAUUUAAUAAAGUAUUAACUUCAGGAAAAUUUCCUGAAAUAUGGGCUAAAGGAUUUAUUGUCCCAUUACAUAAAAGCGGAUCUAAAGAUGAUCCCUCAAAUUUUAGGGGCAUCACGAUAGGUAGUUGUGUAGGAAAACUCUUUUUAAAGAUACUUAAUAACAGAUUAGAAAAGUUUAUAACUAAAAGAAAUAUAGUUGGUCCAGAGCAGAUAGGAUUUUGUAAAGGAAAAAGAACUAGUGACCACAUGUUUGUACUUAAAACCUUAAUUGAUAAAUAUCUAAGCAGGGACAUAAACGCCU